Molecule: ribosomal RNA, 481 nt
Filed under: Blastocystis sp.
Lineage: Eukaryota; Bigyra; Opalinata; Blastocystidae
Also listed under: 1 other name
Description: partial small subunit ribosomal RNA
Rfam family: Eukaryotic small subunit ribosomal RNA
Source: RNAcentral
UGGAGGUAGUGACAAUAAAUCACAAUGCGGGACUUUUAGUUUUGCAAUUGGAUUGAGAACAAUGUAAAAGAGUUAUCGAUAAACAAUUGGAGGGCAAGUCUGGUGCCAGCAGCCGCGGUAAUUCCAGCUCCAAUAGCGUAUAUUAACGUUGUUGCAGUUAAAAAGCUCGUAGUUGAAGUGUGGGGUGAAAGAAUGUGUGUUCAUUUUGAAUGUGCGUUUGCUUACCCCCUCUCCAAUGUGUUAUUAUGGGUAUUAAUUUACUUGUAAUAGCUAUUGGUCAUUUACUGUGAGAAAAUUAGAGUGUUCAAAGCAGGCAUUUGCUUGAAUAUAUUAGCAUGGAAUAAUAAUAAAAGGCUUUUGUGGUCGAUUUAAUUGGUUUGUUCAUGAAAGCAAGAUUAAUAGGGACAGUUGGGGGUAUUCAUAUUCAAUAGUUAGAGGUGAAAUUCUCGGAUUUAUGGAAGAUGAACAAGUGCGAAAGCAA